This is a long non-coding RNA of Neofelis nebulosa (Clouded leopard), 677 nucleotides long. RefSeq lists it as uncharacterized. The transcript is spliced from 2 exons. The record is from RefSeq and is a predicted model, not a curated record. Lineage: Eukaryota; Metazoa; Chordata; Mammalia; Carnivora; Felidae.
AUGAAAAUUAUGGUUUGGACUGGUAUAACCAGCCUUUAAGAUGGUUCCCAAUGAUCCUCAUUUCCUGUUAUUUAUGCCCUUGUAUAGUCCCUUCCUACACUGAAUCAGGGCUGAUCUAAGUAACCAGUAGGAUAAUACAAAAGUGACAGUGUGUGACUUCAGAGGCUAGGUCAUAAAAGGCACUACAUCUUCUGCCUUGUCUCUUGAAACUCUCAGUCCAUGGCAUGAGGGUACUCAAGCAGCCUUGUAGAGAGACCCCAGUGGAGAGGAACAGUCCUCCAAUCAACAAGUGGCAGUAACCUGCCAGUCACAUCUGAUCCUCCAACCUAGUUAAGUCUUCAAAUGAUUGAUUACCACCUUUCAAGAGGCCCCCUAAGCCAGAACCACCUACCAAAGCCACAGCUGCAUUCCUGACCCACAGAAAUUAAAAAGCUUGCCAACUCCAGAGUGAAAAGAAGGAGCUUAAAGAUCAAGUCUUAGGGUACUUCUGCUUAGAAGUCAGGAAAAGGUAAAGGAUCUCUUGCAAAUGAGCCUGAAAAGCAGCAGCCAGGGGGGUAAGUGGGAAAUUCUGUGAGUGGGGCAUCUUAAAAUAUAAGAGAAGAAAAUGUUUCAAACCAGAGAGAAUGGUCAACUGUGUUAAAUGCUACUAAGGUAAAGGCAAAGAUUCAACUUUUGAA